GAAUGCGUUCCAGUGAGAAGGGGCUCUUCGGGCCGAGCCCGCCCCGGCCCGCAGCGCCCGCUCGGGCGGACCCGCGUCCCGGCCCCGGCUCCCGCGCGCGCCCGCCCGCGCCCCAGAGGCAGCGCUGGUGCGGGACGGAGGUGUUGACGGUGUGCGGAGAGAAGGGGCUGGCGAGCGUGGGUCCACUGAUCUAGGUGACCGCUCAGGUCCUCGCCCGGAUCUGAUAUAUGGAUGAAUCCCCUGGCAUGGAAUUAUUAAGUGAAAGGAUGUGAAGAGCUUCACAACUCUUGCUACAUUGUGAAUGCAGGCUCCCUGAAGUCCUAUGCCAUCUGGUUUACUGCUAUAUAUGCAGUGCCCAGCCCAGUGCCAGCACAGACUAGGUGCUCAGUACAUACUUGCUGAAUGAAUGAAUGAGUGACCAGCUGCCACGUGGAGAGAAGCCGAAGCUUAGGCCACAUGGAGAGCGAGCAGCAAGGAACACGCCCACAGUGAGACCCGGGGCUGUACGCACAGGGCCCUGGGGACGCCGUUCCAGCCGUCUCAGCCGGGGCAUCGCGCCUGUGAUGAGCAAGCCAUCUUGGACGGCCCAGCCCUGCCGGGCAGCAUGUGGAGAAGACACGAGCUGUCUCCAGUGCUCCCUGACCGAGCUCCUGACCUGAGAAUCAUGGGAAAUAACAAAAUAGUUGUUGUUUGAGCCGUUAUGUUUUGGGGGUAUUCUGUGAGGCAGCAAUCGGUAACACGAACAGGCGUUCCCCACGCGUGUCCCGUGGUGUGAGGGUCCCUGGCCCUGAGCCCAUGAGCCACAGGCGGAGAGGAGGGCAGGAGCCCGGCUGUGGCGCCGCCGGGGCUUGGGUGGAGGGGGCCGGCGCUCUGCUGUGGGGGAGAGCUCCGAGGCUGGCGCUGGCUUCAAGUUCAAGCUGAUUUGAUUGUUUGGGUCCCUCUGCUUUCACCCCUCCCUCCCUGACCAGCAUCUAAAAAGGAUUGACCCUGGGCUUAAAAGAAUAGAUUUUUGGAAUCCGCAUGUCAAAGCAGGACAUGGCAGUAGAGGUGGCUCCUCGAGGCAUCUUCCUGGAGGCAACAGCGUGUGUGUCGCAGCAGAGUGCUGCCCUGCGCCCUCCGCCCCACGUACCUGGAGCGGGGGAGCCUCGGUGUGGCCACAGCAGUCGCAGCACCGUCUGCUGUGAUGGACGCCACGCAGGAGGAAGGAAGGAGGAAGUUUUGGCUUAUUUGGUUCCAAAGGGAGUUUAAACGUGGGUUUGUGUGAUUCUUUGGGAGAGGCAGAGGAACAAGCACAAGCUUGGGAACUAGACAGACGGGCUCCGACUCCUCAGCCACUUACAACCUGUGUGAUUACAAGUCAGUUUCCUGAUCUGGCUGGGACUGGGCUUUCCCAGCCGUAAAGUGGGGAGCACAGUAGCCACCUGUCCAGGUGGUUAUGAGAACUAUAGGCAAGGUAGGUGAUGUUGCACGGAGUGGGCGAUGUAAGUGCAAGUUCCCAACCGUCUGGUCAGAAAUAAAAUUUGUGUAUCGUCACCCACCCCAGCUAUCAGAAAAUGGAGCGCUGAACACGAUGUCCGUUUACAGGCUGUUCAUUUCAGAAGCCUGCUGGGUGUACUCCAUCUGACCCAAUGGGGGGGCGUCUCCAUAUCUAUAAAUGUUUUGGGUUGCACAGUAUUUUGUAACAUCCAUGAAACUUAUGUAUUUCCAGUGCCCAAACACUGCUUGGCACAUAGUAUGUGUUCAGUGAAUAUUUGUUGACUAAAGAGAGGAUGUACGACUUAAACCGUUUUAAGGGGUGGUUCCCCCGUGAGCCAGAGAUGAGCAGACACUGGUGUUUGAACUCCCGUUGCUCCUGUGUAGAGGCUUGUGCUUGCUAAGGGUGCAGAACCUGGACAGCCUUGCUUGUCUCACUCACAUCCUUCCUGUCUCCCUUCUUUGCUAACAGAACCCCAACUGUGCCCUGCACAGCCGUGUGUCCGGCACCUAGUCACAGAUCCGGAUUGGCCAAAGCUAACCAGGACAGUCCUUUCUGUUUUCCAGCUUCCUUUGCAGCUAUGAAUGGCCAAAGUGGGUUCUGUGGAAGUAUACUGGACACAGGAAGGGGCCUUGGGGGUGUAUUUGCUUUCUUGGUAAAUGGAGAAAAAUGCAGCUGUAAAUGGCCUUCCCACUUUCUUCCCUGAAGAUGGAUGUGAUAGCUGGAGCAGGAGAAGCUGUCGUGCCACCAAGAGGAAGAGCCACGAGAACCGCAGAGAAAGUGGUCCUGAAACCAUUGAGCUGCUGACCCCAUGCCCAUAGCUGUCUUCCUCCAUCUUGCUGCAAAACUAAAACAAAUUCCUGAGUCAGUGGAGUCAGGUUUUCUUUCAUGUGGGCCAAAUGAAUACCUAAAUGGUACACAGACUAUCUGGUUAAAAAAAUUAAAUCACACGAGCACAAAGGCUUAAAACCACUUCAGAAUCGGUAUGUUUCAUUGAUGAAUGGGGUGAAGUGGUAGAUUAAGACCUAGAAUCUAUUUUUUU
Molecule: non-coding RNA, 2516 nt
Organism: Microcebus murinus (gray mouse lemur)
Lineage: Eukaryota; Metazoa; Chordata; Mammalia; Primates; Cheirogaleidae
Source: RefSeq, a predicted model, not a curated record